Arachis ipaensis is the source of this 493-nucleotide non-coding RNA. The record is from RefSeq and is a predicted model, not a curated record. Lineage: Eukaryota; Viridiplantae; Streptophyta; Magnoliopsida; Fabales; Fabaceae.
GACUCUUCAUACUUGACUCUUCAGCUACUUAAUUUUUAGUGAUGACUCUUCAAUUUCAAGAAGAAACUAAUCUGAUAGGAACCAAUCUAAAGCAACGUGUUGGUCUUGUUAGAUCAAGUAAAGAAAUGAGAUCACCGGCCAUCCAAAGUAUACACAACAGGAACAAGGAAAUUAGAUUGGUUCCUACAAAUCUUUGUAAGAGAUGAGUUUGGAUAAUGAAGUUGGAGUGUUGGAGCAAGAAAAAAAGAUGUUGGAGCAAGUUUUCGGGAUGAAAUUCACACAAGAGACCAAGAAACUAAAGCAGACUUGUUUUAAAGUUAAUUACAAAAGGAGAAAAUUUUUGGCCUCCAAAUCUUAUUCAUCAUCACUUAGCUAAGCUAUUUGUCUUGUAUAUUCAUAUUCUAAGUAGUAAAAACAACACUUAUUAGAUGGUUUAAAUACAUUAUUAGAUAUUAACAUAGUUUAGGAAACUGAAUGGUAGAUUUGACUGAUU